RNAcentral lists this non-coding RNA (21 nucleotides) under Arabidopsis thaliana (thale cress). The record is from RNAcentral. Lineage: Eukaryota; Viridiplantae; Streptophyta; Magnoliopsida; Brassicales; Brassicaceae.
UGAAGAGGUGACCAACAAGGA